Rhizopus microsporus is the source of this 154-nucleotide non-coding RNA. The record is from Rfam. NCBI's taxonomy places the organism in Eukaryota, Fungi, Mucoromycota, Mucoromycetes, Mucorales, Rhizopodaceae.
GGUANNNCAACAGUAAUUGAAGUUAGUACGAGAGGAACCCUUCAUUCAGAUAAUUGGUAUUUGCGGCUGGUUGAAAGGCCAAUGCCGCGAAGCUACCAUCUGCUGGAUAAUGGCUGAACGCCUCUAAGUCAGAAUCCAUGCUGGAAGCGAUACU